RNAcentral lists this ribosomal RNA (729 nucleotides) under uncultured archaeon. RNAcentral's name for it is "bacterial SSU rRNA". It matches the Rfam family "Archaeal small subunit ribosomal RNA", at positions 87 to 816 of the family's 1478-position model. The record is from RNAcentral.
GGCUCAGUAACACGUAGUCAACCUACCCUAUGGACGAGAAUAAUCUCGGGAAACUGAGCAUAAUUCUUGAUAGAUCAUAAUGCCUGGAAUGGUUUAUGGUUAAAAUGAUUCGUCGCCAUAGGAUGGGACUGCGGCCUAUCAGCUUGUUGGUGAGGUAAUGGCCCACCAAGGCGAUUACAGGUACGGGCUCUGAGAGGAGAAGCCCGGAGAUGGGUACUGAGACACGGACCCAGGCCCUAUGGGGCGCAGCAGGCGAGAAAACUUUGCAAUGUGCGAAAGCACGACAAGGUUAAUCCGAGUGAUUUCUGCUAAAGAAAUCUUUURCCAGUCGUAAAACCGCUGGUGAAUAAGGGGUGGGCAAGUUCUGGUGUCAGCCGCCGCGGUAAAACCAGCACCUCAAGUGGUCAGGAUGAUUAUUGGGCCUAAAGCAUCCGUAGCCGGCUUUGUAAGUUUUCGGUUAAAUCCAUGUGCUCAACACAUGGGCUGCCGAAAAUACUGCAUAGCUAGGGAGUGGAAGAGGUAGACGGUACUCAGUAGGUAGGGGUAAAAUCCUUUGAUCUAUUGAUGACCACCUGUGGCGAAGGCGGUCUACCAGAACACGUUCGACGGUGAGGGAUGAAAKCUGGGGGAGCAAACCGGAUUAKAUACCCGGGUAGUCCCAGCUGUAAACGAUGCGGACUCGAUGAUGCAUUGGCAUAAUAGCCAUUGCAGUGUCGCAGGGAAGCCGUU